Molecule: transfer RNA, 80 nt
Filed under: Acropora cervicornis
Lineage: Eukaryota; Metazoa; Cnidaria; Anthozoa; Scleractinia; Acroporidae
Description: tRNA-Ser
Rfam family: tRNA (bases 4-72)
About the family: Transfer RNA (tRNA) molecules are approximately 80 nucleotides in length. Their secondary structure includes four short double-helical elements and three loops (D, anti-codon, and T loops). Further hydrogen bonds mediate the characteristic L-shaped molecular structure. tRNAs have two regions of fundamental functional importance: the anti-codon, which is responsible for specific mRNA codon recognition, and the 3' end, to which the tRNAs corresponding amino acid is attached (by aminoacyl-tRNA synthetases). tRNAs cope with the degeneracy of the genetic code in two manners: having more than one tRNA (with a specific anti-codon) for a particular amino acid; and 'wobble' base-pairing, i.e. permitting non-standard base-pairing at the 3rd anti-codon position.
Source: RNAcentral
UUCAUUAAGCUCAGUUGGUGGAGCACUGCAGCGCUAACGCAGAGGCCAUGGGUUCGAAUCUCGUUGUUAAUAUAUUGAAA